RNAcentral lists this transfer RNA (72 nucleotides) under Phrynosoma platyrhinos (Desert horned lizard). Its description in RNAcentral is "tRNA-OTHER". Lineage: Eukaryota; Metazoa; Chordata; Lepidosauria; Squamata; Phrynosomatidae. The record is from RNAcentral.
GCCAGCAUGGUGUAGUGGUUUGAGUGUUGGACUACCACUCUGGAGACCAGGGUUUGAUUCCCCGCUCUGCCA